RNAcentral lists this ribosomal RNA (341 nucleotides) under uncultured bacterium. Its description in RNAcentral is "bacterial SSU rRNA". It matches the Rfam family "Bacterial small subunit ribosomal RNA", at positions 32 to 364 of the family's 1533-position model. The record is from RNAcentral.
AAUCAACGCUGGCGGCGUGCCUCAGACAUGCAAGUCGAACGAUUAAAGCUCUCUUCGGAGAGUGUAUAGAGUGGCGCACGGGUGAGUAACACGUAAGUAAUCUACCUUUGAGUGGGGAAUAACAGUCGGAAACGACUGCUAAUACCGCAUAAUGCAGCGGCAUCGCAAGAUGACAGUUGUUAAAGGAGCAAUCCGCUUAAAGAGGAGCUUGCGGCAGAUUAGCUAGUUGGUAAGGUAAUGGCUUACCAAGGCUACGAUCUGUAUCCGGUCUAAGAGGACGGUCGGACACACUGACACUGAAUAACGGGUCAGACUCCUACGGAGGCAGCAGUCGGAAUUUU